AUCUUCUUAGUAUAAUUAGUACUACUGACUUCCAAUCAGUAAGAUCUGUAACAGCAACGGAAGAAGAUA
Molecule: transfer RNA, 69 nt
Filed under: Proechimys semispinosus (Tome's spiny-rat)
Lineage: Eukaryota; Metazoa; Chordata; Mammalia; Rodentia; Echimyidae
Description: tRNA-Gly
Source: RNAcentral